Molecule: ribosomal RNA, 427 nt
Filed under: uncultured bacterium
Lineage: Bacteria
Description: bacterial SSU rRNA
Rfam family: Bacterial small subunit ribosomal RNA
Source: RNAcentral
UGGGGAAUUUUGGACAAUGGGGGAAACCCUGAUCCAGCCAUGCCGCGUGAGUGAAGAAGGCCUUCGGGUUGUAAAGCUCUUUCGGACGGAAAGAAAUCGCACCGGUGAAUAAUCUGUGUGGAUGACGGUACCGUAAGAAGAAGCACCGGCUAACUACGUGCCAGCAGCCGCGGUAAUACGUAGGGUGCGAGCGUUAAUCGGAAUUACUGGGCGUAAAGCGUGCGCAGGCGGUUGCAUAAGACAGAUGUGAAAUCCCCGGGCUCAACCUGGGAACUGCGUUUGUGACUGUGCGACUGGAGUACGGUAGAGGGGGGUGGAAUUCCUGGUGUAGCAGUGAAAUGCGUAGAUAUCAGGAGGAACAUCGAUGGCGAAGGCAGCCCCCUGGACCUGUACUGACGCUCAUGCACGAAAGCGUGGGGAGCAAACA